GCUAACACGGGGCCAGCGGCGGGGGGAAAACGGAGGGUGCAAGGGUUAAUCGGAAUUAAUGGGCGUAAAGCGAACGCAGGCGGUUGGAUAAGUUAGAGGUGAAAGCCCCGGGCUCAACCUGGGAAUUGCAUUUAAAACUGUCCAGCUAGAGUCUUGUAGAGGGGGGUAGAAUUCCAGGUGUAGCGGUGAAAUGCGUAGAGAUCUGGAGGAAUACCGGUGGCGAAGGCGGCCCCCUGGACAAAGACUGACGCUCAGGUGCGAAAGCGUGGGGAGCAAACAGGAUUAGAUACCCCAGUAGUC
RNAcentral lists this ribosomal RNA (300 nucleotides) under uncultured Lactobacillus sp. RNAcentral's name for it is "bacterial SSU rRNA". It matches the Rfam family "Bacterial small subunit ribosomal RNA", at positions 496 to 795 of the family's 1533-position model. Lineage: Bacteria; Bacillati; Bacillota; Bacilli; Lactobacillales; Lactobacillaceae. The record is from RNAcentral.